CUAAGUUUGAUGGCGACCGGCGCACGGGUGAGUAACACGUAUCCAACCUGCCGAUGACUCGGGGGAUAGCCUUUCGAAAGAAAGAUUAAUACCCGAUGGCAUAGUUCUUCCGCAUGGUGGAACUAUUAAAGAAUUUCGGUUAUCGAUGGGGAUGCGUUCCAUUAGUUUGUUGGCGGGGUAACGGCCCACCAAGACUACGAUGGAUAGGGGUUCUGAGAGGAAGGUCCCCCACAUUGGAACUGAGACACGGUCCAAACUCCUACGGGAGGCAGCAUG
RNAcentral lists this ribosomal RNA (276 nucleotides) under uncultured bacterium. RNAcentral describes it as "partial 16S ribosomal RNA". It matches the Rfam family "Bacterial small subunit ribosomal RNA", at positions 79 to 353 of the family's 1533-position model. The record is from RNAcentral.